GUUCAACCCCUUUUUGACCCUGCUUCUAGAACACAGGUUUUUCUUUCCUUGCUUCCUGAUUUUUGGGGGGCAUCCAAGAGUCUCUCUAGUUGCAUCCUCACUUCCCCCAACCCGGAGUUCAAGGGUCAAGGUUUGCAAGGCACUAUUCCUGGAGACAGGGACAGCUCUCUGAGCAAGAGGAGGGAUUUACCAUAAACUUGAGCAACCCAGAAGCUCACUGAAAAGAACAAAAAAACUCGUCUUGAUUUCAUGGUAUGUUGAUAUUGCUUUUUUUAAAAGAAGUCAUUUUAAAAAUACAGUCCAAUAGUGAGUAAUGCCAAACGUCUCUACGGUCCUUAGACAGUGGCUUGGGAGGAACCAAACCUGGUUCUGAAUUCCAGCUCUGUCAUGAACACCUUUGCUUUGUGACCUUUGGCAAGUGACUUAACUUUUCUUGGCCUCAGUUUCCCCAUCUAUGAAGCUGAACUCAAAUCUCCAAGGGCUCCUUCUGCCCUUUUUUCUCUUCAUCUGAAUCUGACAUCCAUGCUAUUGUUUCCAUUCUUCCUCAUUUCCUAUUAAAUGCGUUUGGAGGCUACAAAUUUCCCUUUGAGAACAGCUUUGGCUGCAUCUCAUGGACUUGGCUGCAGAGUGCUUGCAUUCUUGUUGAGUUCUAAAUAUUUAGGUAUGAUGGUGUCACCUUUAUCUGCAGCUAUGACUAUUUUUUUUUUCUUUUUUUUUUUGAGACAGAGUCUUGCACUGUUGCCUAGGCUGGAGUGCAGUGGCGUGAUCUCCACUCACUGCAAGCUCCGCCUCCCGGGUUCACGCCAUUCUCCCACCUCAGCCUCCCGAGUAGCUGGGACUACAGGCAUGCACCAGCGUGCCUGGUUAAUUUUUAUAUUUUUAAUAGAGACAGGAUUUUGCCAUGUGGCCCAGGCUGGUCUUGAACUCCUGAGCUCAUGUGAUCCACUGGCCUCGGCCUCCUAAACUGCUAAAAUUACAGGUGUGAGCCACCAUGCCCCGUCAUUUUUUUUUUUUUUUGAGACAGCAUUUUGCUCUGUUACCCAGCUUGGAGCAGUGUGGUGCAAUCAUAGCUAACUGUAGCUUUGACCAUGGGUCCAAGGCCUCCCAAGUAGCUGGGACUACGGGCACGUGCCACCAUGCCUGGCUAAUUUUUUUUGAGAUGGAGUCUCCCUCUGCCACCCAUGCUGGAGUGCAGUGAUGCAAUUUCGGCUCACUGCAAGCUCCACCUCCUGGGUUCAAACGAUUCUCCUGCCUCAGCCUCCCGAGUAGCUGGGAAUACAGGCACAUGCUACCAUGCCUGGCUAAUUUAAAAAAUUCUUUUGUAUGUUACCUAGGCUGGUCUCAAACUCCUGGGCUCAAGGAAUCUUCUCAGUCUCUCAAAGUGCUGGGGUUAUAGACGUGAGCCACUGCACUCCGUCAGUCUUGUGCCCUGCCCAGUCUCCGGAGCCCAGCCGUUAGUUGGUCUUAAUCAACAUGGACUGAGAGGAAGGAAGGCUUGUGAAAUGUAGUGACACAGUAACAAAACGAUCCAUUAAAAUGAAAUGAGAUCACAUCCCUGCUUAAAACUCUCUGAUGGCUUCUUGUCCCACUUAAAACAAAAUUCAUAAGGCUGGCCAGGCGCAGUGGCUCACGCCUGUAAUCCCAGCAUUUUGGGAGGCCGAGGCAAGCGGAUCACCUGAGUUCAGGAGUUCGAGACCAGCCUGACCAAUAUGAUGAAACCCCGUCUGUACUAAAAAUACAAAAAUUAGCGGGGCGUGGUGGCGGGUGCCUGUAGUCCCAGCUACUGGAGAGGCUGAGACAGGAGAAUUGCUUGCACCCAGGAGGCAUAGGUUGCAGUGAGCCGAGAUCGCGCCACUAUACUCCAGCCUGGGUGACAAAGUGAGACUCUGUCUCAAAAAAAGAAAAAGAAAAAGAAAAAGAAACUGGCUCCUAUGCAGAUGAAGAUGGGGACCCCGAAGUCUCCAUGUUUCCACACUCAGCUCCCCAGAUUUGUUUUGACCCAGCCUUUUUUUUUUUUUUUUUUUUGAGACAGCGUCUCGCUCUGUCACCCAGGCUGUAGUGCAGUGGUGUGAUCUCAGCUCACUGCAACCUCUGACUCUCAGAUUCAAGCUAUUCUUCUGCCUCAGUCGGCCGAGUAGCUGGAAUUACAGGAACCCGCCACCAAGCCUGGCUGAUUUUUUGUAUUUUUAGUAGAGACGGGGUUUUGCCAUGUUGGCCAGGCUAGUCUCGAACUCUUGACCUCAAGUGAUCUGCACACCUCGGCCUCCCAAAGUGCCGGGAUUACAGGCGUGAGCCACCGCGCCCGGCCUGGCCUUGACUUUUGAGGGUGCCCCCACCCGUGCCACCCCCAGGAGGCAGAGCAGAGCCAGAGUCAUGGGGGCCGGUGGUUGUAAACAGAGUUUUAUUGAUGGGGAGGGGGCUGGGGGAGGCAAACUCCAGAGAGGGCAGAGGACCCAGCCAGCCACGUGGCAUGCAUGGUCAGCUGGAGGUCAGAGGGGGGAGGUCACAAGGGGACGGGUGGCAUGGGACUCUCUCACCACCCUGGGGCCGUAUUUACAGAGGGGCCCCACCCACCUUCGCCGCCCCCCAGGCCCCCAAGCCCUUUAGACAGCUGCUGCCGAUGUGACUUCCGGGCAGGCCCUCCUCGUGUCUCCUGCCUGAAACCCCGGCAUUGUCCCCGCUUCCCUCUGCAGAGUGGGGGGGGUUCAAACUCCUAACCGGCACCUCGGAGACCCCCGGGCCUUCUGGAAGCCCCAGCGUCGGCUCAGCCAACGCCCAGGCCGCUGGGGCCACCACGAUCGUCGCUCGUGGACACACACCCUGCACGCGUGGCCCACUUGACACACACGCCCACAGCAGCCUUCGCUGGCACGCACACACACGCCCACCUCCCCGGCCCCUUGCACACGAACACGGCACGCACACGCACGCACACCCACACACGCCAGGGGCCUGGGUUGGGGAGGGACCUUUCCAGGGGUGGGGGAGGGCUUAGGUCUGCAGCUGUGGCCCCCCAUUCCCCACCGGCGUCCAAGCCUCCCCUGCCUGCCGCCACCCCGAGAACGGAGUUGUGCAAUUGGUUAGAAAACCGCAAAAGAAACCAAAACUGCAAAAAAAACCAAAACCUACGCGCAUAAGGUCAACCUCAAAUCCAUAG
RNAcentral lists this long non-coding RNA (3157 nucleotides) under Homo sapiens (human). RNAcentral describes it as "HSALNT0395780". Lineage: Eukaryota; Metazoa; Chordata; Mammalia; Primates; Hominidae. The record is from RNAcentral.